UGUAUAAUUAGGUUAACGAAAGGACUGCACUGUUGUAGGAUUCCAUAUUAUCCAAAGCAACCAUGACGAUAUUAUCUUUUGAACUCUACUUCCAUUAGCAGCAGCAAAAGUAAUAGUGUUAAAAAUAAAUGCAAAUCAUUGUUGUAUGGUCUAAUGUAUGGGUAACAAAGACAACCGCUUUAUAAAAUCAUUGUGAAGCGCACUAUUUACAUCUUGUGAUAUCUUGUGGCUGAAGGGAGAAUCCCAUGACUAGUUAGUACCAGAGCAAAUGUGUCAGUGGAAAGAAUCAACUUUCUCAGGUACCAUAAAUAGGAAAAGGCUUCGAAAAUGGUUCAAAACUACAUUCGCUAGAACACUCACAAGUAGGAAUUCACGCUCUACACAUGUGCCAUCCUAAUUUAGUGUAGACAGCUCUAGAUGAUAAUAAAUAAUAUGAAGCUCCUUUCAAGUCCUAUAUAACACGAUUUGUUCAUUGAAAAUCAAGUGGUGUGUUGAUUUUGGUAUCAAGUUUUACUUCUCUUUACUUACACGCCACACAGCACACGGUACAUAGAUAUUUUAGAGAACCACAUGGUACACAUAUUUUAGAGAAGUGUGCUUUAAAGGUGGAGGUGGAGCCCCCUAUGGAUUCAAUCAUUCAAAAUUAGGAGACUAAAAACAAAAACCUAUAGUUAUCAGCCGAAAAAGUCAAGAGAUUGUCCACUUCCGAAAAAUCCACAUCUUCUUCCUAAUCAUAAGCCAAAGUCAAGCUAUUGGUAAGGCAAUUGCAGGGAGUAUGAGUGUAGCAUCUAGCUAUGAAUGCAAUGUGCAAAAUAUGUCUCCAAUUUGGAGAAGGAACUGGCAGCCAAAGAUACAAAAAUUUUAAGGAUUGAGACAACAGUGAUCACGCCUACAUGGGCCCUUUCUCUUCUGUUGAACAAAAGCUGGCAGGAUUGAGACAACAGUGAUCACGCCUACAUGGGCCCUUUCUCUUCUGUUGAACAAAAGCUGCGUGCUGAAAAAAUAAACACAAGAUGAGUUGGACGUCCAAUUGGGAAAGCAUCGCCUAGUGGAGGAAUCAGCUAUGAAGACAACUUAAUCUACCUACAAGCCAUUGUCAAGUGGAAACAUUACGAGUAUAGCCUGCAAGCUAUUGUCUACUCCAAAUGUUUGGUAGUGUUUAUAGAACCUAAGGAGGUAUGAUCUUCUUAGCUUUUCUGUCAUUAAGCAGAAUGGAAAGUAAGAAAAAAUGUGUGGCACAAACUUCCCCAAUUAGCUCAGGCAGGUUCCCAACGUUUGGACUUGGAGAACGUGGGAAGCAAAUCUGCUCACCUCAUUGGUUUGUUUUGUAGGUGGUCUCCUUGCUUAAAUGAAUUUUGAAUUUCUUAAAUCAUAUCUUAUCUGAUCUGGAAAGUAUUUUAAAUUAUUGAGGUUGUAGUUUAUUUUAUUAUCUACAGAUUAAAAAGAAAGAAAAUUCUCCUCUAACUCCAACUUCCUCUCUAUCUUUUCUACAAGCUAGUUUCUCUACAAUAUAGUGAGUUACACGGGUUCUUUGCCUAACAACUCAAGAUCCUUUAAGCGGAGACAAACUAAAACUUCAAAAGCCCAAGAAACCGGAUAAUAUUAUAACCAUAUAUAAUUUUUCAAAAUGAUUUUCAUUACAUUCUAAUUAAAAAAACUACCCAAAUUUUGGGUCAAGAUAAUCAAUUGGUGAAUGAGACGGAGCAAUUAGCAAAGUGGGAAUUGGAUUGUUUUGAUGCACUUGAUGGUUAAAAAGUUUAGUUAGAAUUUUUUUUUUUUUUUCCUUAAAAUUUGACACAAUAAAUUUUGGAUCUUUGGUUGCCAGUUCCUUCUCCAAAUUGGAGACAUAUUUUGCACAUUGCAUUCAUAGCUAGAUGCUACACUCAUACUCCCUGCAAUUGCCGUACCAAUAGCUUUACUUUGGCUUAUGAUUAGGAAGAAGAUGUGGAUUUUGCAGAAGUGGACAAUCUCGACUUUUUCGGCUGAUAACUAUAGGUUUUUGUUUUUAGUCUCCUAAUUUUGAAUGAUUGAAUCCAUAGGGGGCUCCACCUCCACCUUUAAAGCACACUUCUCUAAAAUAUGUGUACCAUGUGGUUCUCUAAAAUAUCUAUGUACCGUGUACUGUGUGGCGUGUAAGUAAAGAGAAGUAAAACUUGAUACCAAAAUCAACACACCACUUGAUUUUCAAUGAACAAAUCGUGUUAUAUAGGACUUGAAAGGAGCUUCAUAUUAUUUAUUAUCAUCUAGAGCUGUCUACACUAAAUUAGGAUGGCACAUGUGUAGAGCGUGAAUUCCUACUUGUGAGUGUUCUAGCGAAUGUAGUUUUGAACCAUUUUCGAAGCCUUUUCCUAUUUAUGGUACCUGAGAAAGGUGAUUCUUUCCACUGACACAUUUGCUCUGGUACUAACUAGUCAUGGGAUUCUCCCUUCAGCCACAAGAUAUCACAGUUUUUGGGCUUCUUCUUGCUACAAUCUGUUUGUUGUUGGCAACGGUAUUUAAUGCCAAAGGGAACAAGAAGAAAGGCAAAAGGCCACAGGAGCCGUCCGGGCGAUGGCCUAUUAUCGGUCACCUUCAUCUUCUAGGAGCAGACAAGCUGCCACAUCGGACACUUGGAGACAUGGCUGAUAAGUAUGGACCAAUCUUUUGCAUUCAUCUUGGCCUUCGUAAAGCUCUGGUGGUUAGUAGCUGGGAAGUAGCAAAGGAAUGCUACACUACCAAUGACAAGGUAUUCGCCACUCGACCAAGAUCCUUAGCAGUAAAGCUCAUGGGCUAUGAUCAUGCCAUGUUAGGAUUUGCUCCCUAUGGACCAUACUGGCGUGAUGUGCGGAAGCUAGCCAUGGUUGAGCUCCUCUCAAACCGCCAGCUUGAGAUGCUCAAACAUGUCCAGGACUCAGAAGUUGAGUUCUUAAUAAAAGAGCUCUAUGGGCAAUGGGCACGAAACAAGGACAGCCCCGCUUUGGUGGAGAUGAAGGAAAGAUUUGGGAACUUGGUAAUGAAUGUAAUGGUGAGAGCAAUUGCAGGGAAACGGUAUUUUGGGACCCAUGCCUGUGAUGAUGAGCCAAAACGGGGCAAAAAGGCCUUGGACGAUUUUAUGCUUCUAGUGGGGCUGUUCAUGGUCUCGGAUGCCAUCCCUUUUCUCGGCUGGUUGGACACGGUGAAAGGGUAUACCACUGAUAUGAAGAAAAUAGCUAAGGAGUUGGAUUAUUUGCUUGGAAGGUGGGUGGAGGAGCAUCGCCAGCAAAGGCUUUCCGCAAACAACAACAGGGCUGAGGUAGACUUCCUCCAUGUCAUGCUUUCCGUCAUAGAUGAUGGCCAAUUCUCUGGUCGUGAUCCUGAUACCGUCAUUAAGGCCACUUGCUUGGUAUGUCCCUGCUACUUCCAUAACUUGACCAUGAAAUGAAAAGAGAAAAAAAAAAACACCAUCUACUAUCAUAAUUUCUGCAACUUUUUCUGCCCAAUUUCCUAAACCCUCCUCGCAUUUCUACAAGCAUUCAUCAAAUCCAGUAUAGCUUUAUCAUCUGUAUUUAUCAUGACAAACCAGGUGGGGUGAUCGAAUUUCACUUAGAUUCCUUAUUCACGGUUUGUUUUAUCAUUCUGCUAAACAUGGUAUUUCACUACUGAUAAGUAAACUUUUCCUGAUCACAUAUUGAAGUCGACAUCAUUUGUUGAUUGCAGAACCUCAUAUUAGCUGGCUAUGACACAACAUCUAUCACUCUUACAUGGGCCCUCUCUCUUCUACUGAACAACCGCCAUGCGCUAAAAAAGGCACAAGCAGAGCUGGAAAUCCAUGUGGGUAAGCAUCGCCAAGUGGAUGGAUCAGAUAUAAAGAACCUAGUCUACCUGCAAGCCAUCGUCAAGGAAACAUUACGAUUGUACCCUCCUGGGCCACUUUCCGUGCCGCAUGAGGCCAUGGAAGAUUGCACUGUGGCAGGCUUUCACAUCCAAGCUGGGACGCGCCUUUUGGUUAAUCUCUGGAAGUUGCAUCGUGACCCCAGAGUCUGGUUGGACCCUUUGGAGUUCCAACCAGAGAGGUUCCUGACAAACCAUGCAGGUUUGGAUGUUAGGGGUAAAAAUUAUGAACUUCUACCCUUUGGUUCAGGUAGAAGGGUAUGCCCAGGAAUCUCAUUUGCACUGGAGUUGACGCAUCUGGCACUAGCCAGACUGCUUCAUGGUUUUGAAUUGGGAGUAGUUGCAGAUUCACCGGUGGAUAUGACUGAAGGUCCUGGGUUGAGUGCCCCCAAAGCAACCCCGCUGGAGGUCACCAUUGUUCCAAGGCUACCUUUCGAGCUCUAUAGUUAUGAAGCAGCAUAGAAAGUAAAUAAUACUCUGUGAGCCAGAGAGUCCCCUAAUUAGCCCAAUGCUUUAGGGUAUAUUUAUGUUGUGUAACUCACUUUGAAUGGCCUGUGUAGUGGGUGUUCUCCUUUCUUGUCUUCUCGUCUCAAAUUUCAUCCACUUGGAUAGUAAUAAAUUUCCAUCUAUGAGUAAUUCUUUGUGUUACUUAAAAUAUAGACCACAACUGCACCAGCAACAAAAGGCUGUUGCAACAACAGAACUCAACAAAACCAAGAUCACUCAAGAAUUGUGCAAGUAGUUAGCAAUAUGGUAGUGUAGUUUGAAACUGUGCAAAUAGUUAGGAAUCUGAUUGUGUAGUUUGUUAUAGCUGAAACUUUAAAUAGCAGAGUAGAGAACCUCUCCUGAACAUGUAAUUCUUCAUCUCAAUAUACAGAAAUUAAAUUUGCAUUCUCCUGAUACAAACUUACAUGGUAUCAGAGCCACCCCGUAUUUCCUUCUCUUCGCAUCAGUUUCAUGGUUCCACCAUGGCAAUCUCAACUCAGUCUUCUCGGAUACAAGCUAGAGCUGCAAAUUCGUCCUCAGCCAUAACUCAAUCAAUGCAGAUGUUGAAUCAUGCACUGCCCAUUAAACUUGAUAAAGAUAAACUACCUGUGUUGGAAAACACAACUGGAGAAUGUGAACUUUGCAAACGGCUUUGAAGACCACAUUGAAGGUUUGACAGUCUGUCCUUCAAAAACAACAAGCAAUGGUGAAACAAAUCCAGAGUUUAUUCUUUGGAAAAGAUUUGACCGAAUGAUCCUUAGUUGGAUCUACUCCUCACUUACUCCAGAAAUUAUGGGUCAAAUAAAAGUGUAUCAAAUCUCCCAUGAAGCAUGGUCUGCUCUGGAAAAGAUCUUCUCAGCUUCAUCCAAAGCUUGGGUGAUGCAAUUACAACUAGAAUUUCAAACCACGAAGAAAGGAUCCCUUUCAAUGAUGGAUUACAAUCUCAAGCUGAAGAAUCUGACUGACCACUUAGUUGCCAUUGGAGAACUGGUAUACGACAGAGAUCAUAUUCUGCAACUGCUUGGAGGGCUUGGUGUGGAAUACAAUUCCAUUGUGGCCUCUCUUGUAGCAAGAGAAGAUGAAGUUUCACUGCAUACGGUGCACAAUAUUCUGUUAACCUAUCAACAGUGCCUAAAUCUUCAGAAUUCGACAGAAAACAAUGUAAUCUCUACAAAUCUCACUACCACGUCAUCAAAUCACCACAACAACAGAAGGAAUUCCAAUCGAAAUUCCUCAGGAAACAAUAGCAGAAUAGUCAACUCCGAACGCAACUCUCAUGGCAAUAGAAACUUGGUCUCUCAAAAUCACCCACAAAGUAAACUUUGUAGAAAGUCUGGACAUAGUGUGGUCCAAUGCUAUCAUCGUUUUGAUAUAAACUUCCAAAGGGUAAAUACCAACUCUGAAUCUAAGCCCCAUGCAACUAACAGAAAUCGAGAUUAAGCCCAUGUUGUGAUUGCAUCUUCUAUUAACAUAAAGAGUAAGGAAUGGUUCUUUGAUACUCGCGCCACCCAUCAUCUUUCUCAAACUACCACCUCUCUGGACAAUAAACAAUCAUAUAAUGGCAAUGACAAGGUGACAAUCGGGAAUGGUACACAAUUUCCCAUUCUUCAUACGGGUACUAAAAUUUUUCAGUUUCCUUUUAAAGUGUUUCAAUUAAAAAGAGUUCUUCAUGCUCCUCAUCUUGCAACCAAUCUUGUUAGUGUCUCUCAAUUCUGUGCUGACAACAAUACAUUUGCUCUCAGUUCUUUCUUGUCAAAGAACAGGUUACCAAGAAAGUUCUUCUCAAAGGUCAUCUCGAACGAGGAUUGUAUAAAUUUCCUACCAAUUUUAGCUCCACUACAGGCAUGUUCUCUAGCCUCAACAACUUUUCAUCUUCAAAUUCCACGAUUGAGCUUUAGCAUUCUCAACUUGGUCAUCCUGCUGAAGAUAUAUUGAAACACGUUCUGAACAACUGUAAUAUUUCUUAUCAAUGUAAUAAACACCAAAUCUAUUGUGUCUAUCAAUAUGCCAAAAGUCACAAGUUGCCUUUUUCGUUGUCCAUGUCAAGAGCAUCUCAUCCUUUAGUACUUGUUCAUGCUAAUUGUUGGUUGUAGUUUCACCCUUAAAACAGAGAUUGGCUAUAAAAAAAAAUAAAAAAUGGAAGAGUAACACCUAGGAAUAGAGGAGUUAAAAAUAGUCCACCAAAAAACAAAGGACCUUUUUUCUUUUCCUCACUUUGUAUUCUCGGUUAUGUUGUUUUUGUUGUACAGAAUGUAGUUUUCAAACCAAAUGCAAAGAGAUUUAACUUGAGUAAACCUCUCCACAUGGAAGCAUGACAACCACUCAAAACAUAAAAACAAAAAACUUAUUGUGAUGUUCCUCCAUACCCAAAAGCUUUCGGAAGUGAACCCAAAAGUUUCUCAACAAUUCUUUUAUCACUAAUUUCUUCGCCAUAUGACUUCAUCUGAUUAACUAAUCUAAAAGAAAACUCAUUUAGAAUUUCAUUCUCCUUCAUUUUCAUAUUUUCCAACUCUCUUCUUAAAGCUUGAAGCUUUACUGACCGGGUUCUUUUAUCUCCUUGGAACUACUAUUGAAGGAUGUCCCAUGCUUCUUUAGCUUUUGAAGCUCUCAUAAUUCUUGGAAAGAGGUUGUUAACAACACCUUGUUGAAUAAAUAAGAGAGCUUUUGCAUCCGUUUUUUUCAAUUCUUUCAACUUUUUUUUUUUCAACCGAAGUUAGUGUAAUCACAUUUUCAAGUUCAUCAAAACCAUUUUCAACCAAAUCCCAAACACCUUGAUUUAUAAAUAAUGUUUUCAUUUUUAUGCACCAAAAAUCAUAAUUUUCUCAUUCAAAUAAUGGAAUAGAAGAAGGUUGAGAACUCAUACUUGCAACACUUGAGCUAGCCAUUGAUCUACUCUUCAAAUCCUUGGCCGUCUACUUCAAGAUUGAUGGUUUCUAGCUACACAAUCUGAUUGCACAGCAACAACACCAAUUGUUCUUCGUUUUCUCUUUCCUUGUUUGCCUUCAAAUUUUGAUGCUUCAAUGACCACCAAUUCAGUCGUAUUGUAGGUUUGGAUUUGGGCCUUCAGAUUAAAAGAAACCCUAGUAUCCUCCAUCUCUAAAAUAGAGGAAAUUUCUGAAAUUUCCAUACACAAGAGGCAUGUUGUAAGAGAUAAGAGGGCUUGAAAAGAAGAGGUGGAUUAUAUUAAAUUGGAAACAACAAGGUGGAUCGAAGUUAGAUUGAGAGAUGGAUUCGUGAAAUAGGUGGGCUCUGAUACCAGUUCUGUUGGUUGUAGUUUCAGCCUAAAAAUAAAGAUUGGCUAUAGAAAGAAAAAAUGGAAGAGUAACACCUAGGAACGGAGGAGUUAAAAACAGUCGACCAAAAAACAAAGGGUCAUUUUUCUUUUCUUCACUUUGUAUUCUCGAUUCUGUUGUUUUUUGUUGUAUAGUAUGUAGUUUUCAAACUAGAUGCAAAGAGAUUUAACUUGAGUAAAUCUCUCCACAUGGAAGCAUGACAACCACUCAAAACAUAAAAAACAAAAAACUUAAUUUUUACAUAUAUAUAACCUAAACACAGCAUAGGCACAUUAUGUUACACUAAUAUCUAGGCUCCUGCACCCACUUUGUCUACUUCUGAUGCAUGAUUUUUUCUGCUACUCAUAGAUGACUUCUCAAGAUUUUCUUGGCUUUAUCCACUGCACACCAAAGAUUAAGUGCUUACAAUGUUUAUAAAAUUUCUCGCUUUAGUGAAAACAACUUAACUUCAAAAUUAAGAGCCUACAAUCAAAUAACGAUGGUGAAUUCAAAGAAUUUUCUUCCUAUCUUGCUGCCCAUAACAUUGAACACAAGUUCUCCUACCCAUACACACCUGAACAGAAUGGGAGAGUCAAGCAGAAAUUGAGACAUGUUAUAGAAACUAGUCUUGCUUUUCUAGCCAAAGCCUCCUCACCUCUCUCUUUCUGGUUGUAUGUUUUUCAUACUGCCAUAUUCCUCAUCAACCAUCUACCUACCAAGGUACUUAAAUAUCAAUCUCCAUUUCAAACUCUUUUUGGGAAAAUUCCUAAUUAUCAUUAUCUCAAGACAUUCGGUUGUCUUUGCUACCCAUACAUUAGACCAUACAACAAGCAAAAACUGCAAUAUUGUUCUACUCCAUGCAUCUUUCUUGGCUAUAGAAACAAUCACAAAGGAUACUUAUAUUUUGAUCCAAAAACUACCAGACUUUAAAUAACUAGACAUGUUGUUUCUCAUGAAUCAAUCUUUCCAGCUCUAUCACCUUCAACUUCUUCUAAUCCUAGUUCUUCCAUUUACACUCAUGCAUUUCUUCCCAUAAACAUGUCCUAUUCUCUUGCUUUAUCUUCUCCUGACGUUCCACAGCAUAACCCCACACCUUUGUCUUCACCACUUCACUCAUCUUCUGACCACACCCUUCAAACUAUACUUAACAAUGCUCCUCAGCAUCCUCUUAUUAUUACUAAUUAUCAUAUGAUCACGCAUGCCAAGGAUGGCAUUGUAAAAAAAGAAAUCUUUUUUGUCUCACAUGCCUACUAAACCAGCAACAUUUUCUCAAGCUAUCAAAAGUUUCUACUAGUCCAAGGCUAUGUAACAAGAGUAUGAUAUUCUACUCAAAAACAAAACAUGGAAUCUAGUUCUUGCUCCUCCAAAUGCCAAUAUUAUCGAUUGCAAAUGGGUCUGCAAAUUAAAACAUAACCCGAAUGGAACCAUUGCUCGUUACAAGGCUCUCCUAGUUGCCAAAGGUUUUACCCAAACACAUGGUCUUGAUUAAUUUGAAACCUUCAGCCCCGUUGUCAAAGCUUCAAGCAUCAAAAUAGUGUUUGCUCUUAUUCUCUCUUUUGGUUGGACAAUUCGUCAGCUUGAUGUGCAAAACGCCUUCCUCAACAGUGAUCUCUAAGAGCAAGUCUUCAUGAGCCAACCACCUGGUUUUAUCAACUCUCGAUUUCCUACUCAUGUCUGCAAACUUAACAAAACCAUUUAUGUGCUUAAACAAGCUCCUAGAGCAUGGUACACCAAGCUCGGUCAUGCUUUUCUUAGCUAGGGUUUUCAAGCCUCCCAUGCAGACAGCUCCAUGUUAUUUCUUCACACUGCCAAUGAUGUGCUUAUCUUAUUGAUCUAUGUUGAUGACAUCCUCUUAAUAGGUAGUGAUCCUCAUUGUGUUUCUUCAUUUUCUUCUCAUCUUAAUGUUACAUUCGCUCCUCGAGAUCUUAGUCAUCUUCAAUAUUUUCUUGGUCUAAAGACUAUGCAAGAAAAAAACUCAGUUCAUUUGAAUCAACACGAAUAUGUCCAUGAUCUUCUUCAACGUACCAAUAUGCUUGAAUCCAAAUCUGCUUCUGCGCCUGGUAUGGUUGGUCAAAAUUUAUCCAAACAUGAUAGAGAUCUUUCCAUGAUGUCACACUAUAUUGGCACAGUUGGUGCUCUUCAAUAUCUCACAUUAACGAGACCUAAUAUUUCAUUUGUUGUCAACAUAUCAUGCCAGUUUAUGAGUAGUCCCUCCAACACACAUUGGUUUUCUGUAAAGCGCAUCUUACGUUAUCUUAAAGGCACUACAUCUUAUGGUAUUUCCAUGCAACUGUCUCUCUUUGGACAUUUAAGCAUACACUGAUGCAGAUUGGGCUUUUUGUACAAAUGACAAAAGAAGCACCAGUGGCUAUUGUAUUUUCAUUGGGCCAAAAUUGGCAACGAGUAGAAAGUUGUUUCAAGAAGUAGUGUGGAAUCUGAGUAUCGUGGCAUAACUGUUGUCGCUUCCGAAAUUGCUUGGAUUCAAUCUCUACUCACCGAGUUAUGUCUUUCUCCUUCUGUGGUGUGACAACCAAAGUGUUGCACAUCUUGCUGCCAAUCCCAUAUUUCAUGGUCAAGCAAAGCAUAUUGAACUCGACCUUCAUUUUAUUCGUAAUAAAGUCCUUCAAAACCAACUUAGUAUUCGGUAUCUUCUCUCUUUCAACCAAAUCAUUGAUAUCUUCACUAAACAUAUCUCAAGCUCUCGGUUUUUUUAGCUUUCGAACCAAACUCUUUAUUGUUCUCAAACCUUUGUUCCCAAACCUGCGAGCUUGUGGGGGGAUGAUAGGCCACAACUGCACCAGCAACAGAAGGCUGAUGCAACAACAGAACUAAGAUCACUCAAUGCAAGAACUAUGCAAGUAGUUAGGAAUUUGGUAGUGUAGUUUGAAUUGUGAAAAUAGUUAGGAAUUUGGCAGUGUAGUUUGUUACAACUGAAACUAUAAAUAGUAGAGAAGAGAACCUCUCCUGAACAUGUAAUUCUUCCAAUCAAUAUACAUAAACUAAAUUUGCAUUCUCCUUAUACAAACUUAUACUCCUUUCUCAUCUUCUCAUCUCAAAUUUCAUCCACUUGGAUAGUAAUAAAUUUCUAUAUAUGAGUAAUUCUUUUUGUGUUACUUAAAAUAUCUUAAGUUUGUUUUUGAGAAAAACAAAAAUAGAAAAUGGUUUUAUGUUCUACGUCUUUCAACUAUUCUCACUUAUUUUAAAAAAUAAAUAUAAAAAUAUGUAAAAUGAUAAUAAAUAAAUAAAUAAAGUACUGACGUAAAAGUUAUUUUUUAAAAAUAUAUAUAUAUUUAAAAACAUAAAAAAAAUAAGUUAAUAAUAUUUCUAAUUCUAAAAUAAAAUUUUAUUCACAAAACAUGAAAGAACAAUUUUUAGAAACAAUUCUCAAAUAUCAUUUUUCAUAAUUGUUUUUUAAAACACUUCCCAUUUUUUUAUAGUUUUUUUUUUAAAGAAUUAUUUAUUAAGAGUCAUCUUGUCAGUGAUCCUAAGAAGUGUUUUUAGUCAAAAAAAAAGUUUUUGAAAAAACAUUGGAUGUUUGACAGAAUUAAGGAAAUAUCUUUCAAAUUUUGAAAAAUCAUUUUCUAGAAAAAUGUUUAAUAGAUGAUUUUACGAAAAAACAAUUUAUGAGAAAACACUGCCAAUAAAAAAAAAUUAAAUAGAAACACUUUCAAAUACACUUAAAAUGUUUUUCUUAGAAGUAUUAUAAGUGAUUUUUUAACUUUUUAAAACCAUUGUUUAAAUUUUAUCUAAUUUUUUUUUCUCAAAAAUAUUUUUGUACGUAAGCUAGAACUAGAAGUACUUUCUAACUUCAAAGAAUCUUUACCCGGCCGUUAACGUUUUAGACACCGCCGUUACCAGGCCCUUCUCUCAUGCAAUUGCUUAUAUAAAAACAAACACUUUUGUUACUUGGUACUAGAGCGCAUUAGAACUUUAGACAAAACAGAAGAUUCCUUACUUUUAUUUAGGCAUCAAACCCACUCAUUCAAGCAUAUUUAAAUUUAAAUGCAGUCGUCCAUGUAUACACAAAAGACCCAUUACCAAGAAGGUGAUCAUCCUUUUUCAGGGUUGGUUGUUCAAAAUUCAAAAUCAGUUGGCUGAAGAACAGAAAGGAAAAGAACAGAGCUGAAUUUGCAGAAAAGUAUUUUUUUUCUUUUUCCUUUUCUAAGGAUCUUGGAAUCCUUUUCCUAGUAUAGACAGAACAUUAGAGGUAUAUAUAUGGUAGUGGGAAGUGAUUCUUCCCCAUAAAACAUUUUCUUUUCUAUUGAGUCAUGGGAUUCUAUCUUCAGCUUCAAGGGAUCAUAGUUUUUAGCCUUCUGUUUGCUAUCAUCUGUUUGUGAUUGAUUAAGGGCAAAGGGAACAGAAACAGAGGAAAAAGGGCACCAGAACCAUCACGGGCAUGACCUUUAAUCGGACACCUUCAUCUUCUACGAGUAGGCAAGCCCCAACAUCAAGCAUUUGGAGCCAUGGCAGAUAAGUAUGGACCAAUCUUUUGCUUUCAUAUUGGCCUGCGCAAAACUUCGGUGGUUAGCAGCUGGGAAGUAGCAAAAGAAUGUUUCACUACCAUGGACAAAGCAUUUGCCACUCAACCCAGAUCCUUGGCAGGAAAGCUCAUGGGCUAUGACCAUGCCAUGUUUGGCUUCUCUCCUUGCAGGGCAUACUGCGUGAUGUAAGGAAGCUGGCCUCAAUUGUGUUGGAUUGUGAAGCUUGAACUAGUUUUAUUGCGCUUCGCUCAGGAUGUCGGGAGUCGAGCUGCCCGAUCAACUCAUGAGGGUCAAAUGGUUGCAAAGUUUGUUGACAUAGGUGAGAUUCAAACAUGUGAUGAAUGUUCUGUAUAGUGAUAGCCAAAGUGCAAUACAUUUUGCUAAGAAUUCAGCAUUUGACUAGACAUAUAACAAUUCUUUAUCACUUCAUCAGGCCUUUGCUUAAAAGUGGAGUGUUAACACUUGUGAAGAUACACGAUAACAAGAAUCCAACUUACAUGUUGAUCAAAGCACUAAUAGCAGAGAAUCUAGAGCUAUGCUUAGCUUCAGUGGGUCAAGGGUAAGGAUAGGUUGUUUCAGUGCACUAUACCUAUUAAUCAUUGAAGGAGGAGGUUUAUUGUGUUUCAGUCCAAGCAUAAGAUUAUUAGAUUGUCAAGCCUGAAUCAAUUUUGUUGUAUUUCGCUCGGAAUGUUAGAGAUUAAGAUGUUAGGUCAGCUCAAGGUGAUCGAGCUCCCAAUGAGCUCGCAAGGGUUGAGCUCCCUAAUGAGCUCGAUAAAGGGAUCAAGUUGCCCGAUCAACUCAUGGGAGUUGAAAGGGGUAGCGCCCCUUGAAAAAAAAAAAUAUAUAUAUAUAUAUGCAUUGAUUGAUGAGUUUACACCUAUUAUAUAUUUAACUUUUUUACGUUUAGGGUUUUGUUUUUCUUAGAGUGCAGCCACAAUUGAGAGAUUUUUUUUUAGAGCUUCAUCAUUCUAACUCAUUUUUCAUUUUGAUUAGUGAAUUGUUGAGUAUUGGUGCACUCUGUGGACAUAGGGAUCACAUUUAUCGCCGAACCAAGUUAAAAUUCUUGUCUUUUUCUUUAUUUUCUACUCAUGUGUGUGUGAUUUGAUUAACAGGUUGAGCUCUUCUCAAGCCACCAGCUUGAGUUACUCAAUCAUGUCCGGGACUCAGAAGUCAAGCUUUUCAUCAAAGAGCUCUACAGGCAAUGGAUACAAAAUGGGGAUAGACCUCUCUUGGUCGAGAUGAAGGAGAAGUGUUGGCACCUGGCAGCAAAUGUAAUGGUGAGCACAGUAGCUGGGGAACGGUAUUUUGGCACCGUUACAAAUGACUAUGAGUCAAGACAGUGCCGCAAGGCCCUUGGCGAUUUCUUAUAUCUCUCGGGGAUAUUUAUGGUUUCUGAUGCAAUCCCCUUCCUUGGCUGGUUGGACACAGUGAGAGGAUAUACGGCAAAAAUGAAGAGAACAGCUAGGGAGGUGGAUCAGGUGCUGGGAAGCUGGGUGGAGGAGCACGGCUGGAAAAGGGUCUUUGGAAGUAUGAACGAGGCUGAUCAGGACUUUGAGUGCUUUUGGUAAUGAUUAUACGAAGUGUUUUUAGUUUUUUUUUAACAUUUGAAAAUUUCUAUCUUUUAAAUAUUAAAGAUAUUAAAAAUACUUCUUAAAAUCACUAUCAAAUAUACUCUUUAUCCAUAGGAUGUUGUGUCUGUUAUUAAGGAUGGUCAAUUCUCCCAUCAUGACCAUGACACUGUCGUUAAGGCUACUUGCUUGGUAUGUUUCUUCUACUUUCCUUGGUCAAAUUCCAUAAACCUCCACACACUUCUGUACGUAAGGAAACAGCAAACCUCCAUCUUGAUUUGUUUUGUCCAGCUGUUCCACUUACCAUUUCAGGACUGAUGAUUAACUCUCAACUUUCUUUGACAAAAUUUAUGGGAAUAAUGAAAACUAUGAUAAACUUUUAAAUUGUUCUACCGACAGCUAGACUCACUAUUUUUUAACACAUACUGAUCAAAGGAGCCAUAUCACCGGCUCAAAAGACCAACAUGGAUGUAAUGUUGAUGUAGACUCUUAUAUAGGCGGCUUUGAUUCAACAGUGAUCACACUGACCUCAGCCCUCUCUCUGCUAAUGAACAAUCCUAGCACUCUAAAAAGAGCACAAGAUGAGUUAGACAUCAAAGUGGGAAAGCAUCGCAAAGUGGAUGAGUCAGACAUAAAGAACCUAGUCUACUUGCAAGCCAUCAUCAAGGAAACCUUACGACUGUACCCUGCUGCACCGCUUUCAGUGCCACGUGAGGCCAUGGAGGAUUGCAACGUGGCAGGCUUCCACAUCCAAGCUGGGACUCGCCUUCUGGUUAACCUGUGGAAGUUGCCCCGGGACUCCGAAAUUUGGCCGGACCUUUGGAGUUCCAACCUGGGGGGUUCCUAACGAAGCAUGUGGAUUUUGAGGUCGUGCAUCUGACACUAGCCAUCUGACACUUCCUAAAAUAAUAUUUAAGAUUAUAUUUAGUUUUUGGAAAAUAUGAAAGAAAACAUGAGGAAAAAAAAAAAAGGAAAAUAGAAGAAAAUUAAAAAAUUAAAAAAAAAUCAAUAAUUCAUUUUUAUAACAUAAUAACUUAAAUGAAUAAAUACAUUAAAGAUAUGGUUUUCAUGGGACAAAUUUCUUACAAUAAUGCGCCUAACUUGGAUUAACUCCUAAAAACUUGCAUCAUGCUGGAGGCUCUCCUAUUAUAACAAGAAAAGUCUUCAUCUUUGAGCUUUCAAAAGCAUUUGCAUCAUGAUUAAACAAAGGAUUAAACAAUAAUCUUUUGUUUUGUUAUUAUCAAAAUAGUCUUUAAAAAGCUUUAGCCUAACAACUCAUGGUUUCUUAUGUAAUCCCUUCCUUGGUUGGUUACACACGGUGAAGGGGGUAUAAGGCAAAAAAUGAAGAGUACAGCUAGGGAGGUGUAUCAUGUGCUUGAAAGAUGAUUGGAGGAGCAUCCUUUCAAGAGGCUUGCUGGGAGUAUAAAUGAAGCUAAACAAGACUUCAUCCAUGUCAUGCCGUCUGUUAUAGGAGAUGGACAGUUUUCUGGUCAUAACACUGACACAAUCAUUAAGGGUGCUUGCUUGGUAUCUCCCUGUUCUUUCUAUUUUUUGAUGAAAUUAACAGCACCGAGUUGCACUGUUUUCACUUGCACUAUUUUCAGUGUUGCAUUAGUAGUGUUGAAUUGCAAAGCAUGAAUCAGUUUUAUAUAUCACAUAGAAGAUGUUGGGGGUCAAAUCACCCGUUGAGCUCACAAUGGUCAAGGUGCCCAUUUAGCUUUGUAGAGAUUGAAGGGGCAAGGCCUAUAGAUAAUUUUUUUUAUUUAUUAAAUGAUGAGUUUAUCCCUAUUGUAUUUAAUCGGCUUAUGAUUUAGAAUUUCCAUGAAGGGUUUUGUUUGAGAGAGAGAAUUGUAUGUAUGACCAUGAUUGCGAGGAGAAGGAUAACUCUCGCCAUUAUAAUUUUUCUAUCUUUAUUAAUUAGAUUAGUAGAUUCUUAAGUGUUGAUAUGAUUCUUAAGCGUAGUGAUCAUAUUGACCAUAGAAAUAGAGUAAAUUCUUUUAUUUUGUCUUUCUUUAUUUCUAAUUGUGUGUAUAAUUAAGUUAACGAAAGGACUGCACUGUUGCAGGAUUCCAUAUUAUCCAAAGUAACCAUGACGAUAUUAUCUUUUGAACUCUACUUCUAUUAGCAGCAGCAAAAGUAAUAGCCUAAUGUGUGCAACAAAGUCUUCAGGUUAGUUCAGGCACUGUCUACUCCAGCAUAGAAAGUGGGAAAAAAUGUGUGCCACAACCUUCCCAAUUAGUUCAGGCACUGUCUACUCCUUAAUUCUGAACCAUUCAGUCCAAACGGGCAUCCACCUUACACUUAGGUAAGGCAAAGCUUCUCAAUAUUAUCCGUGUAAUGUGUGGUGUGUGGUAAAGAGCAUGCCAAACUUUAUAGCUAAAUCAACCCCAUUUUUAUGGGGCUAGAUACACUCCCACGUGAUUUUCAAUGAAUAAAUAUGCAUCAUAACAACUGGCCAGAGAGAUGGGUUUUUUCAUACUCAGAACUAUCAUAUAUAAGACUUCGAAGGAGCUUUCAUAUUUUGUAUCAUUGACAGCUGUCUAUAGUUUCCAUAUUAGGAUGGCACAUGUGUGGAACAUGAAUUCGACCUGUCGGUGUUCUAGUGUGUGUAGUUUUGAGCCAUUUUGGAGAAGUGAUUCUUUCCCCUGAUGCAUUCGACAAUGUACUGAGGGUGGUGACCUGCCCCUUUUCUCAAUGUAAUCACGUUUUAUAUAUUUUUUUUAGGUAUAAGAAGCACUCACAGAAAGUGUGACCUGGGUAUGUAUAAAUAUCCCUGUUCUGAACAGAGAAAACUGUGAAAACAGAAUAGAAAACCAUUUUUCUCUCUCCAGCCCUCUUUCUCUUCACUCUGGUACUAUCCAGUCAUGGGAUUCUCCCUUCAGCCUCAAGAUAUCACAGUUUUGGGCUUCUUCUUGCUACAAUCUGUCUGUUGUUGGCAACAGCACUUAAUGCCAAAGGGAACAAGAAGAAAGGCAAAAGGCCACCAGAGCCGUCCGGGCAAUGGCCUCUUAUCGGUCACCUUCAUCUUCUAGGAGCAGACAAGCUGCUACAUCGGACACUUGGAGACAUGGCUGAUAAGUAUGGACCCAUCUUUUGCGUUCGUCUUGGCCUCAAAA
Molecule: long non-coding RNA, 16772 nt
Filed under: Vitis vinifera (wine grape)
Lineage: Eukaryota; Viridiplantae; Streptophyta; Magnoliopsida; Vitales; Vitaceae
Description: long non-coding RNA (VVIN_LNC000692)
Source: RNAcentral